RNAcentral lists this non-coding RNA (30 nucleotides) under Mus musculus (house mouse). Lineage: Eukaryota; Metazoa; Chordata; Mammalia; Rodentia; Muridae. The record is from RNAcentral.
UNGCAUGGUGUUCUCUAUUGCCAGAGAGGC